CGCAAUCUUCUUUCUAAAGUACUCGACAUGACUAGCGUUAAACUCCAAUCUAAGCCCGAACAUUAAAUACAUCGUAACCAUCAAUACAAAAACACCGCAAUCGCCAGUUCCGGGCUCUUGUUGUGGCGCGCUCUUAACUGCCAUAACUUUCCAGGGGUCUGCACUCCGCAACUCAGGUCAGAUGUUGUAGAAGCCAACAUAUUCCAACCAUCGAGGGAAUAUAACUUCAAGUGGCUUGAAUUUCAACUUGUACCUUUUGUUGUCGCGAAAUGUGAGUAAUG
Molecule: long non-coding RNA, 281 nt
Filed under: Citrus maxima (pomelo)
Lineage: Eukaryota; Viridiplantae; Streptophyta; Magnoliopsida; Sapindales; Rutaceae
Description: long non-coding RNA (CMAX_LNC000821)
Source: RNAcentral